Long non-coding RNA from Pogoniulus pusillus (Red-fronted tinkerbird), 2023 nucleotides. RefSeq lists it as uncharacterized. Lineage: Eukaryota; Metazoa; Chordata; Aves; Piciformes; Lybiidae. The transcript has 2 exons. The record is from RefSeq and is a predicted model, not a curated record.
CCCAGCCAAAAAGUUGUUCCUGCUCCAUACUUCGAACUGUUCAGGCAGCCCAGCCUGAGACAAGGAGAGAGGCUGAGCUCCCCUCAGUUAUCAGCCUCUGAAGACAAAGCCGUGUUUCCCUGCUGGACCCUGGGCUGACAGCAAGUGCAGAUGACACCUGAGCUUGACCGCGUCCAUGCCAGCCAGUUUCUGUCCAGCAGUGAAAGAGGUAUGCACACCUGGUGACACUGGUGGCUCCCACUGAGGGAGAACAGCUUUCCUUGACUGAGCCUGAGCCUUUGCAACAGCCCUAACCACAGCCUCUUUACAGAAAGGUGAAGAACCAAAACUUUCAUUUGCCCCGGUUAGUUUCUUUGACUCACUUUAAGAUAGGGUUGCUUAUAACCAUCUCAUUAUCACUUCCUGCUUUGUGGUUGUCAGGUCCCUUCACUAAUAACAGAGAGCAGCAAAGAUCAAAGUUUUCCAGAAGAAGCCUUGUUUUUCUCUUGGCUUAAUGUGAAGAUCACCAUCCUCAGCCCACCUGGGUACGCUCACAUUUUGCAGGCAGUACCAAAGGGAGCCCAAACCUUGCACUGAUGGGCUGCAGUCUGCAUCAGGCAGAGUCUGCUGUUUGAGAAGAACAGCCCUUAAGCUCCAUUUGCAGGAGGAUUGUAUAUCAGCAGAUGUUGUCAGAGGGUGUGAUUAUUUUUCCUCUAUGUCAAUGCUAUUAGUCAUUCCUUCAAGCGAACACAGCUAUAUUAGUAUGAAGGUCUUCAUGCUGGUAUUGUUUGUUCCUUGCUGUAAUUAAGGUAGGAGAGUUUAUGUUCCUUAAUUAGGAGGAGAAUGUCUCCAACUCUCCAGACAACUAUAAGAAAUCUUGUGCAUUGCUGCCCCAGCUUCUUGUAACCAGCCCAUGAGAUUUUCAACAUUUUUCAGUGCUGACUAGGGAAAAGGGAUGAUAAGGAAAAAAUGUUCUUCAUGAUUUUCAUGAGCUGGCUGUGAGUGCAAAAACAUGUCACAAACAAAUAGAAAUCAGCACACUAAAUUGUAACUGAGGUCUGGCCCAGAGUAGAUGCUGCUUGGUAAAACCAGGAGAGCAGCUUGGACUGUGGGGCAGAGGAAGAAGGAAGAUGCUAUAGGCAAACAGCAGCCCUUCAGCUGGGAGGUGGCUGGAGAAAGACCAAAACCAGAGCAGUGGGGCGAAAUGCUGUAGGAAGGAUACAUAGGUUAGCUGACCUACAUAGAGUAUUUUUCUUUGAUAGCACCUUUUCAAAAUGGAUGACCCAAAAUCCACCUCUCAGCGUUAGGAGCAGAAGGGAAUAUUGCAUUUACCCUCUGCUGUGCUAACAGCUUUUCACACCCAGGUAAUUGUCGACAGCAUCUCUUUUGAUGAGUACUUGCUGUUCCGUCAGCAGAGGUAAAGGUGGGAGCACAGCUAACUUUGGACAGCUUUGGUUUGUGAGCCAGAAGAGCUAACAAAGGAUGUGAUUUUCACCUUUUUGUGUUUGACGUUUUUGAGACUCAUUUUUCGUCUACACUAUUAACUUGUUACCUUGAAACAUAAGAUGUCACUGUGAUGGAAAACACGUGCAGGAAAGUGUUCACAAAGGUAGUGUUGGGACCAGUAAUGUUAUACUGUUAGUGUGAUACAAAUACUUUUUCCAAUACUGUAAAAUCCAGAAGAAAAUUUCAUUCUAAGUGGAUAUUAUUAUAGCUUAUAUUCCCACAUCGUGCAACAAACCUAAUUCUUGCAGCAAAUGCUAUGCAUGAAGAAAAUCAAAAGUGUCAGGCUCUCUGACUAAUGGCUGACCAAAUUAAGCUCAACAACUCAGAGAGGAUCAAAGGAGCAGUGGCAGACAGAAGCACCUUGUAACCUUAUUCAAGACAGAGGGAGCGUGGAAGUACUGAAACUACAGAGGAAGAUAACCACACUCCUGUCACUGGUGGGACACUCUGAUGUGACUCCCUGUUUGGAGCCUGUAUGUGUAACCCGCUCAUGAACCAAAAGUGAGGCUGCUGUGACCCUUGGCUUUUUUAUCCAUUC